This 180-nucleotide ribosomal RNA is filed under the name uncultured Glomeromycotina. RNAcentral describes it as "partial small subunit ribosomal RNA". Lineage: Eukaryota; Fungi; Glomeromycota. The record is from RNAcentral.
GGAUUGACACAUCGGUCGUGCCUUAAGGGGUAUGAACUGGUGUAGUCAAUUUCUCACCUUCUGGAGAACCGCGAUGCCCUUAAUUGGGUGUCACGGGGAACCAGGACCUUUACUUUGAAAAAAUUAGAGUGUUUAAAGCAAGUGAAUAACAGCCUGAAUACAUUAGCAUGGAAUAAUAGA